RNAcentral lists this ribosomal RNA (253 nucleotides) under uncultured bacterium. Its description in RNAcentral is "partial 16S ribosomal RNA". It matches the Rfam family "Bacterial small subunit ribosomal RNA", at positions 524 to 776 of the family's 1533-position model. The record is from RNAcentral.
UACGUAGGGGGCAAGCGUUGUCCGGAUUUAUUGGGCGUAAAGAGCGUGUAGGCGGCUAGGUAGGUCCGUUGUGAAAACUCGAGGCUCAACCUCGAGACGUCGAUGGAAACCAUCUAGCUAGAGUCCGGAAGAGGAGAGUGGAAUUCCCGGUGUAGCGGUGAAAUGCGCAGAUAUCGGGAGGAACACCAGUAGCGAAGGCGGCACUCUGGGCCGGUACUGACGCUGAGGAGCGAAAGCGUGGGGAGCAAACAGG